RNAcentral lists this long non-coding RNA (1630 nucleotides) under Vigna radiata. Its description in RNAcentral is "long non-coding RNA (VRAD_LNC012733)". Lineage: Eukaryota; Viridiplantae; Streptophyta; Magnoliopsida; Fabales; Fabaceae. The record is from RNAcentral.
GUGUAUAUAAGUGGGUGCAAACCUCACCCUACAAGCCAGUUUUGUGGGGUUGAGUUAGGCUUAAAGUCCACUUCUAACAAUGAUGAUACAUAGAUACAUUCGGCAAUUAUUCUAACAAACAUCACUCACCACAACCCGUUAUAUUAACAUAGCUAAAAACCUUGCACACGGCCAACUCCUACUACCAUUCACCACGCAUAAAUAGUCCAAACAAAAGCUACCAACAAAUUUUACAAUCUUCAAAUAGCAAAGAAACGAGUGCAGCAGAAUAUCAAUUUAAAACAGUCAUAGCAGUAUGCCCAAGAAGGUUUAACAACCCAUAAUUACAUUCUGGCAAGGUCUAUAUCAUAAUCUACCGUAACAUUUAUCAAACAAUUCAAGUAGUUACGUUUCCAGCCACUAUCCAGACAACCAGAAUCCCUGUUUCCCAUACAUACAUCUGCCUAUUAAUGCUGACAGACUCACAACUAAGUAGCCAAAUCACCUAGCAAUACAGUCAUUCAUAAACACCACUACUCACGUGAAUAACCUGCAUAUAAUGGAAACAGGUUUACACUCCAAAGGAUCAUCAUAUAACUACACCUGGCAACGAAUACAAGGCUAUAAUCUACUAUAGUUUAACCAAUGCAUACACCACAUAGUCAGGCCAAUGCCCUCAACCAAAACAUGAUUCAGACAUCACAUAUAUUCAGACAGAGUUACUUUUAAUUCAAAGCCGGAAUAUACCACAUUUAACAAAACCAGAGCAACAUUAGAGUACCCACUUGUACUACCCAAGCCUCAUUGCAACAAAACAUAACACACAAAUUACAUUUACAGUAGUUUCAAUAACCAUGCAGUAAGCAAUGCAAUCACCACCAGGCUCAAAGCACCUACCAGGAAUAUAACAUUUUAUGGCUCGAAUUAAAAGAACAUCAAACAAAAUUAUAUAUUACAGUACAUCAACACAAGUAUUCGAAUAUUACAAUUUAUAUUCGAGAAUCAUAAGCCAAGUGAAAGCACAGAAUUUUCAGAUAGCAAAUCAUUAAUCAAACAAACACAAUGCUAACUCCCCAUACCUUGUCCGAAAUCUUCUCGCAAUUGAAACCCUUGACCCCGACCUCUUUCGAACGCCUAUUGCUCAACCUCUGUGCUCACUCGUUCACCUGAUUCCGCUUCGCUUCUCCUCCGCUUCACUAGAUACACUUAGCAAAACUCUCUUCCGUAUGCUCAAACCCUAAGAAAGCCCCGAAAGAAUCUCCCUUCUUCUAGCGCCAUCGAAACGGGGUGCUCCUAUCAUAACUCUCAGUCACUCACAUCUAGGGCUUACGUGUUUUUGUGCAAGAAAAAAAAAAAUGGUGGAAGAAUGAAGAAGAGGCGAGACAGAAGAUAGUGGUGUUCUUCAUAGAAAUUUAAGAUAUUUGAUUAAUUUAAAUAUCACAGAAAUUUUAAGUUCUUCAUAAAUUAUUGUUAAUUUCAAUUUUUUUUUAUAUUUUGUAACUAUUAUUUUUAAGUCUUACGGUAAAUCAUAAUUAGCUAAAUGCUAAAAUAGAAAAUGUUUCGGAUAAAUGGGGUCUUCCUCUACAAUGAUACUCCGACCGUCCACUGCCUUUGGUUCUUCACUGUCCUUCUCAGCCGUCCGGGUACCUGC